RNAcentral lists this long non-coding RNA (509 nucleotides) under Dromaius novaehollandiae (emu). RNAcentral's name for it is "lncRNA (ENSDNVG00000010204.1)". Lineage: Eukaryota; Metazoa; Chordata; Aves; Casuariiformes; Dromaiidae. The record is from RNAcentral.
GAACAUUAUUACAAUUUUUCACACAUUUUCUAUCUUUUCAGUGUCUAAGUGAAAUUUUAUUUCUGUGCUGAAUCCUUGGGGCUGCAGAAAGCAAAACUAUCAAAGACACCUACAUAUCUCUGCCUUGAGCAAAAACCAAAAUGCAGACACAACAGAAGAGAAAGCAGAUGGCCUUGGAAGUGCCCUGAAGAAGAUACCACAGGUCAUAUGUGGCAUAUGCAGUGUGAUUGCUUUGUGAAUUCAUCAGCCACGGAGAAAUAAGGAGAAAUCCAGAUCAAGUAGCGGGACAGUGGAGGUGCUGCAAGCCCAGCGGAGCUUCUCGGGCAGACAAUAAAUCAGCACUGAGGCAUUGCGCUGCUGCAUCCGGACUUCUGCAGAAGUUACUUCCUGGGAACCUCUUCUCCCUUCGAGCUUCGCCCCACGCUCCCCAGCUUGUUCCCACAUAUAUCAGAUUAAUGACAUCAAUGCCACCAGUCUGUAUUUGCGGCUGCAAAAAUAGCAAGGUGGUG